UGCAAUAAAUAUAUUUGGUCAGCAAACAUGAAAACAUGGAGGAUCUGAAUGAACUCAUUCAGUUCAAUGAAUCAGAAAAACUGAUUCCUCUGAGAAUCAACAGAUCAACUGAUCUCUGUGAGAGGAAGAAAUCUGUUAAAUGAAACAACAACUAGAGCAAACAUCUGGUUUAUAGCAACAGAUCUACUGAUUCUAGAUCUACAAACUUCUGGAAUAGAUUUUAUUGAACUGAAAUGAAUCAAACUGAUUCUAAUCAGAAUCCAGAUUCAGUUUUCAAUGAUCAGAGAAUUUCUAAAAAUUAGAUCAAACUCAGGUUUCAGUUUAAAAUGUUAAACAAACAUGUUAGAAAACAGGAACAAGCUGAUGGUGAGUUUAUGUCACAAGUUUGCUGUUCAUGAAUCUGAGAGCAAAAACAUCAGGAACUGAAACUGUAGAGCAGCAGAGUGUUGUCAGUCAUUCCUUCACAUUGCAACAUGAAUCACACUAUAACAAAACGGCUCUACAAACUCUGAGAAACAAUGAAAACAAUCCAACCAGAUAAGAUUCAAAUUUCAGUCACAACUUAAAGGUAAAUCAGCUGAUUUUCUGUCUCCUUUAGUUUUAAAAGUGGAGAUCGAGGAGCGGAUAGUGAGCAACCUGACGACGGCGCACAAUGAGUUUAUAACUCAGCAAGCCGCUGGACGGAAAUGACCCUGACCCAGUCUGCGGUUCGGGUUUAAUUCAUGAAGAGUUUCCUCUACGAACAAAUCAAGCUGAUUAUCGUUAACGUUGUUUGAAUGUUUAUUAAUGUCAUCAGAAUAAACGUGAUUUCAGGA
Xiphophorus hellerii (green swordtail) is the source of this 815-nucleotide long non-coding RNA. RefSeq lists it as uncharacterized. The record is from RefSeq and is a predicted model, not a curated record. The transcript is spliced from 2 exons. Lineage: Eukaryota; Metazoa; Chordata; Actinopteri; Cyprinodontiformes; Poeciliidae.